This 711-nucleotide ribosomal RNA is filed under the name uncultured bacterium. RNAcentral describes it as "bacterial SSU rRNA". It matches the Rfam family "Bacterial small subunit ribosomal RNA", at positions 28 to 750 of the family's 1533-position model. The record is from RNAcentral.
GAUGAACGCUGGCGGCGUGCUUAACACAUGCAAGUCGAACGGAGUUUACAUGAAGCCUAGCGAUUGUAAACUUAGUGGCGGACGGGUGAGUAACGCGUGGGUAACCUGCCUUAUACCGGGGGAUAACACUUAGAAAUAGGUGCUAAUACCGCAUAAGCGCACGAGGCUGCAUGGCCUAGUGUGAAAAACUCCGGUGGUAUAAGAUGGACCCGCGUCUGAUUUUCUUUUUGGUGAGGUAACGGCCCACCGAGGCGACGAUCAGUAGCCGGCCUGAGAGGGUGAACGGCCACAUUGGGACUGAGACACGGCCCAAACUCCUACGGGAGGCAGCAGUGGGGAAUAUUGGACAAUGGGGGAAACCCUGAUCCAGCGACGCCGCGUGAGUGAAGAAGUAUUUCGGUAUGUAAAGCUCUAUCAGCAGGGAAGAUAAUGACGGUACCUGACUAAGAAGCCCCGGCUACUACGUGCCAGCAGCCGCGGUAUACGUAGGGGCAGCGUUAUCCGGAUUUACUGGGUGUAAAGGGAGCGUAGACGCAUGGCAGUCUGAUGGUGAAACCCGGGCUCACCCCCGGAUGCAUUGUAACUGUCAGCUAAAUGCGGGAGAGAAGUGGAAUUCCUAUCGGACGUGAAGCGUGAAUUAUGGGAACCAUUGCAAGGCUUUGCUUAUACUAGUACGGGGCAAGAUACUGGUCCCCCACAACGUGGAUUGGU